Molecule: non-coding RNA, 354 nt
Organism: Oncorhynchus mykiss (rainbow trout)
Lineage: Eukaryota; Metazoa; Chordata; Actinopteri; Salmoniformes; Salmonidae
Source: RefSeq, a predicted model, not a curated record
GAGGGGAAGGUGAAGGAUGUAAGGAGUCAGGGACAUAAGAACCAGAAAUAAAAGUGAAAGAGGAGAGGGGAAGGUGAAGAUCAUAAGGAGACUCGGACAUAAGAACCAGAAAUAAAAGAGAGAUGGGAGAGGGGAAGGUGAAGGAUGUAAGGAGUCAGGGACAUAAGAAGCAGAAAUAAAAGUGAAAGAGGAGAGGGGAAGGUGAAGGAUGUAAGGAGUCAGGGACAUAAGAACCAGAAAUAAAAGUGAAAGAGGAGAGGGGAAGGUGAAGAUCAUAAGGAGACUCGGACAUAAGAACCAGAAAUAAAAGAGAGAUGGGAGAGGGGAAGGUGAAGAUCAUAAGGAGACUCGGAC